AACGAACGCUGGCGGCAGGCUUAACACAUGCAAGUCGAACGCCCCGCAAGGGGAGUGGCCGACGGGUGAGUAACGCGUGGGAACAUACCCUUUUCUACGGAAUAGCUCUGGGAAACUGGAAUUAAUACCGUAUACGCCCUACGGGGGAAAGAUUUAUCGGGGAAGGAUUGGCCCGCGUUGGAUUAGCUAGUUGGUGGGGUAAAGGCCUACCAAGGCGACGAUCCAUAGCUGGUCUGAGAGGAUGAUCAGCCACAUUGGGACUGAGACACGGCCCAAACUCCUACGGGAGGCAGCAGUGGGGAAUAUUGGACAAUGGGCGCAAGCCUGAUCCAGCCAUGCCGCGUGAGUGAUGAAGGCCUUAGGGUUGUAAAGCUCUUUCACCGAUGAAGAUAAUGACGGUAGUCGGAGAAGAAGCCCCGGCUAACCUCGUG
This 431-nucleotide ribosomal RNA is filed under the name uncultured bacterium. RNAcentral describes it as "partial 16S ribosomal RNA". It matches the Rfam family "Bacterial small subunit ribosomal RNA", at positions 29 to 507 of the family's 1533-position model. The record is from RNAcentral.